Arachis ipaensis is the source of this 1174-nucleotide non-coding RNA. Lineage: Eukaryota; Viridiplantae; Streptophyta; Magnoliopsida; Fabales; Fabaceae. The record is from RefSeq and is a predicted model, not a curated record.
AUUUUUGUAAAUUCCCUCCAAAGGACAUCACUCACCUCCAAAGCGCCUUCAUCCCUGCACUGAUCGUGAAGAAACCCUCUCACCACACACCAUCACCACUGACCACUCACCAUCGCCCAAAAAUCCUCUCACCAUCGCGAAGAAACCCACUCAUCACCACUCACCACUGACCGUCACUCCUAUUCGCCCUCAUCUCUGCGCUUCUCACUUUCGCCAACCCUGUCGCGCACAACCCUCACCUUCGCCAUUCUCACUGUCGCUGUUACUGCACUGAUCAUCGCUCUUCUUCUCCGUUCUACCCUAAUCGUCUUCUCCGUGCCCUAAUUGCUGAUGACCGUCGCUGUUCUGACCAUCGCUGUUGCUGUGCCACUGUCACCAUUGUCAUCUCUGUGCUUCUCAUCAUCGUCUUCUCUGUGCUCACAUCGUUGAAUAUGGUGAAGUGGAUGCUGUUUUUGUUAAUGCUAUACUAGCUGUGUGGGGUUCAGCAACGGAAUCUUGAGGCAAGUUCUAGCUGUGUGAUCCCCCAAGAAGUCAGUGCUCACCGCCUCACCCACCCAGGCUCUACCAUCAUCUUCUAAUUGCUUCUCACUGCUCACCCAGCACCACCAGCGUCUGCUGUCUUUGCCGCCGCUCCUCUGUUUUACAGCCUCUGAGCUGCGAACUCCAUCGCCGCUUCCUGAGGCUAUCUUCAACAGGUAAUGUGAAGUCUUUGCUUUGUGAAAUAGCCUACAUGGCCUCUUGGUGACGAACAACUCUAGAACAUUAGUUUAAUUUGUAGCCUCUCUUUCUCUGAAAAAGUUGAGCACAUUGAGAUCUUCAGGAUGUUUGGAGGGAGGGGGAGAGGGAGAAAAAGUACAAAAGGUAGACAAGAAAUCACGUGGUGUAUUGAGAGUAAAGCAAAGCUGAAUAAGGGUAACAAUGAAGAUCAAACAAUGAAGAUUAAGCUGAUUAUUAUUGUGGUUUAUUGGCUAAGAUAGAGUACUGUUUAGAAUCUUUACAUGUAUGGUUGAAUAAUGACUUUUAUUAGAAGAUACUUAUGUAUUUAGGAUAUAUUUUUUUUGUAGAGUAUUAGUAGUAAAUUCUAAGUGGUAUUAUGGUUAUUUUGAUAUGGCUAUAUUUACUUUAGUGUGAGAUGUAUGAAUUUUUACAAUUAAUAUAUUUUGGUUAGAGAUAA